This 207-nucleotide ribosomal RNA is filed under the name uncultured Oligella sp. RNAcentral describes it as "partial 16S ribosomal RNA". It matches the Rfam family "Bacterial small subunit ribosomal RNA", at positions 568 to 774 of the family's 1533-position model. The record is from RNAcentral. Lineage: Bacteria; Pseudomonadati; Pseudomonadota; Betaproteobacteria; Burkholderiales; Alcaligenaceae.
UGCGCAGGCGGCUUGGAAAGAACGGUGUGAAAUCCCGGGGCUCAACCUCGGAACUGCACUAUUAACUGCCAAGCUAGAGUAUGUCAGAGGGGGGUGGAAUUCCGCGUGUAGCAGUGAAAUGCGUAGAUAUGCGGAGGAACACCGAUGGCGAAGGCAGCCCCCUGGGAUAGUACUGACGCUCAGGCACGAAAGCGUGGGUAGCAAACA